AUCAGAUAAUAAGGGAUAUAUGAUAAGCUGAAAGGAUACAGAAAUGAAGGAGUACGACCAGCAAGGUGAAGUCCUAGAACAAGGUUAUCAACACAUGAUUAUACCACUGAAGCCUUGCCAAUUUCAAGGAAGUGAGCUUUCACAGGAGCAGAGUAUGGGCCCUGCUGCUUCUAGGCCACAUGGCAAAUCCUAUCUACAGUUUGUAUGCUGUAAGUAAAUUCCCAGCAUGUAACUAAGAUAACUAUAGAUGAUGAGUUUCAAUGCUUCUGCAUGACCAUGAAUUAAUUUAUAUGGAUCAUAUGUUAUUAAAACUUAACAGAACUAUUAGCACAACACUCUGUUUAAGGUAAUACCAGUUAAGAUUGUCACCUGGGUCUUCAGCUUGAAUCACGGCAUAAAGUAUUAGUGGAGAUUGAUAUCCAUGAGCUUAACAUAUGGGCCAGCUGCAGGUAUUUAUAUUUUUGGAUGACUCCAGUGAUUUGCAGAUGUGUAAAAUGGUGUUCUAGAG
RNAcentral lists this long non-coding RNA (508 nucleotides) under Coturnix japonica (Japanese quail). Its description in RNAcentral is "lncRNA (ENSCJPG00005000169.1)". The record is from RNAcentral. Lineage: Eukaryota; Metazoa; Chordata; Aves; Galliformes; Phasianidae.